Cherax quadricarinatus is the source of this 156-nucleotide non-coding RNA. The record is from RefSeq and is a predicted model, not a curated record. Lineage: Eukaryota; Metazoa; Arthropoda; Malacostraca; Decapoda; Parastacidae.
AAAAAGGGCCCCCCCCCUUUUAAAAAUUUUUUGGGGAAAACCCCCCCCCUUUUGGGAAAAUUUGGGGGGAAAAAUUUUUUAAAAAAUUUUUUUUAGGGGUUUUUGGGGCAAAAUUUUUUUUGGGGGGGGUUAAUUUUUAAAAAAAAAACCCCCCCC